Ceratotherium simum simum (southern white rhinoceros) is the source of this 70-nucleotide non-coding RNA. Lineage: Eukaryota; Metazoa; Chordata; Mammalia; Perissodactyla; Rhinocerotidae. The record is from RefSeq and is a predicted model, not a curated record.
GGAGAGGCAGUUCACCAUUGGCCCUGAGCAUCCCUGCAAGUUCUUGCUGACUGUCCUUAAUGGAAGGCUU